This is a non-coding RNA of Paramuricea clavata, 96 nucleotides long. The record is from the annotation of a GenBank genome assembly. NCBI's taxonomy places the organism in Eukaryota, Metazoa, Cnidaria, Anthozoa, Malacalcyonacea, Plexauridae.
UUUAAAUAAAUGAUUACAAAGCCCAGUCGAAUUGUAAUCGAAUUGAAACGUUGUGUCUUGAUUACAAUUCGACUGGGCUUUGUAAUCAUUUAUUUA